Bubalus bubalis (water buffalo) is the source of this 3623-nucleotide long non-coding RNA. RefSeq lists it as uncharacterized. The transcript has 2 exons. The record is from RefSeq and is a predicted model, not a curated record. Lineage: Eukaryota; Metazoa; Chordata; Mammalia; Artiodactyla; Bovidae.
GGGCGGCGCUCAGGCUGCUCAUCCUGGUCUGUCUUGUGGAGGAGCACCGGCUCUGGGUGUGCACGGCUGAGUUGCCCCAUCGCGUGUGUCAUCGAACCCCAGCCCCCUGCAUUGGGAGCAUGGAGUCUUAACCGUUGGACCACAAGGGAAGUCUCUCUUCUAAGAAUUUUACGGCUUUAGGUCUGAUGUUUAGGUCUCUGAUCCGUUUGGAGUUGUCUUUUGUGUCGUGUAAGCAAGUGUCUGACUUCAUUCACGUGGAUGUCUGGUGUGCCCAGCACUGCUGGUUGAAAAAAGGCUGUCCUUUCCCAGUGGAGUGGUGUCGGCCCCCGCCUGUCAGCCAGUCUCAUUCUCUCGUAAAUGACAGAGAUGAUGUUAAUGCUCUGACAGAAUGUUGGAAAACAGGGAGGACACUCUUUGAUUCCCCCUCCUUCUCACUAGAUGACUUGUUGCGUAAUCGUGGGCUUUAGUUUUCGUGUAUUCACUUUCUAUCUCUGUUUUUAAACAGAUAUACAGUUGACCCUUGAACAAUGUAGAAAUUGGAGGCACCAACCUCUGUCCCUGCAGCAGUCAGAAAUGUGCAUGUAACUUUACAGGCCACCCUUGGGGUGCAUGGCUCCGUAUUCUCCAUUUGCAUAGUUCUGCAGUGCGUAUUUAUUGAGAACACUGCUUAUAAGUGCACCUGUGCAGUUCGUACCUGUGCCGUCCAGGGGCAGCUGCUCCUAUUUCGUGUCUUUAGGUUGGUGCAAAAGUAAGUGCGGUUUCAGAUCAUGAAUUUUAAAUCAUUAUAAUUAGAUUCAAACACAAUCUUUAUUAAUCAAAAUAGGAACCAUUACAAUCAACACAAUUUUGCCAAUGAGAAAUAAAUUGAUUUAUUCCUGUAGUGUAAAAAUCUGUGCUUCAGGAUUUGAUAAAUUCUUGGAGAGCAUUUUCUGCGUCCUGCGGGUUAUGGGAACGUUUUCCUUGCAAAAAGUUGUUGAGAUGAUUGAAGAAGUGGCGUUUGGUGAGAGGUCAGUGAAUGUUCAAGAGGUCAGUAAAUAUUGCAGACGAGGCAAAACUUUAGCCAAAUUCAUUCAACUUUUGAAACGUUGGUUGUGCGAAAUGUGGUCGGGCGUUGUCAUGGAGAAGAAUUGGGCCCUUUCUGUUGACCAGUGCCAGCUGUGGGCGUUACAGUUUGGGUGCAUCUCAUCGAUUUGCUGAGCGUAUUUCUCAGCACUGAGAGUCAGAAAGCUGUAGUCGAUCAGAUGGGCAGCAGACCACCAAAUAGUGACCAUAACUCUUUUCGGUGCAAGUUUGGCUUUGGAAGGUGCUUUGGAGCUUCCUGGUCCAACCACUGAGCUGCUUAUCACUGGUUGUCGUAUAAAAUCCACUUUUCGUUGCAUGUCACAAUCCUAUCGAGAAAUGGUUUGUUGUUGCUGCUUAGAAUAAGAGAAGAUGACACUUCAAAAUAAUUUUUUAAAUUUUCGAUCAGCUCAUGAGGCACCCACUUAUCCAGCUUUCUCACCUUUCCAGUUUGCUUCAAAUGCCGAACGACUGUAGAAUGGUCAACGUUGAGUUCUUUGGCAACUUCUCGUGUAGUUAUAAGGGGAUCAGCUUCGAUGAUCCUCUCACUUGGUCGUUGUCAACUUCCAGUGUCUGGCCAUUACAGUCCUAAUCUUCAAGGCUGUCGUCUCCUUUGCAAAACUUUUUGAAUCACCACUGCACUGUAUGUAUGUUAGCAGUUUCUGGGCCAAAUGCGUUUUGUUGCGGCGAGUGUUCUCCACUGCUUUAAGAUCCAUUUUGAACUCAAAUAAGAAAAUCGCUCAAAUUUACGUUUUGUCUAACAUCAUUUCCAUAGUCCAAAAUAAAUGUAAACUAAACGGCAAUAAGUCAUUAGCACAAAAAACAUAAAGCGAGAAAUGCACGUUAAGAUGUUGUGUAACACAACCUCAUUUAAGAAUGUAUUCCAGUAUCAAACAGCAAAUUUCAACAAUGCAAAAACUGAAAUUGCAUUUGCACCAACCUAGUAUGAUGACUUUGCAGGCUGCACGUAAGUACGAACUUUAAGUGACUCUGCUCCCGUGGUGGAUUCUGGUGCACUGGUGGUUUUUACCAGUGAUUAAUGUUGAGCAAGUCUUUGCACAUAGGCCUGUCCUCGGGCUGAGCACUGGGUGUAGAGUUGCUGUCUGAAAGGGUCUGGGCACCUGCAGAGUUUGUGCUGUGUUUGGCAUCUAAGCCUCUUGUAGCCGUCUGUGGUAGGCAUUGUCCAUUAGGCAUAGGCUCAUCGUACGUGAACCACAGUGGAUGUUAGCGGAACUGUUAUCGCAGACAAACAUCAUUCCUCUCGUGUUAACUCCAUACAGCAAAUCUUUGCGCUCCUUCACGUGCCAGGCCUUGUUGAGCUACGGGGGUUCACUAGUGAAGAGAACCGGAGUUCCCAUCCUCAGAGAGCUGCCCUUAUUAGGGGCUAAGACAGACAAGAAACAGGGACACAUGGGCAUGUCGAGGUGUUGAAACGCCGCAGAGGAAGCACAGACAGGUACAGGGCACAGUGUCUUGGGCUGGGCAAGACCAGGGAAGGAAGGAAGGCAGGCCCGCUCAGAGCCGUGUGGGCUCCCGGGGCAUCUGAGAGGCGGGGAGAGCCGUCCAGGCAGAUUGGACAGAGCGCGCUUGUCGCUGUUGAUGGGGAACAAGAGCCCCUGUGGCUGGAGGACCAGAGGGCGGGAGGACCCAGGGCGCCAGCUAUGCCUGUCUUUUGAGCGCACCCUGAGUGAUGUGGGUUCUGAUCCAACUGUCCUGGCUGCCAUGGGGACAGGUUAGGGGAUCUGUUGGGAGGCGCUGACUGGAUCCCAGCAGGAGAGGUGGGGCCUGGAUCAGAGUGGGAGCAGUGAGGAGGGGAAAGGCACUCUAUGCUGUUUUUUUUUUAUCAAAGUGUAAUUAACGUAGAAUGUAAGUUACAGGUGUACAGUCCAGUGAUUCACGAGUUUUAAGGUCAUGCUCCAUUUACAGUUAGUAUAAACUGCUGACUGUAUUUCCGCGUCAUACAGUAUAUUCCUGUGGCUUCUUUUGUGCCUAAUAGCUUGCCCCUCCUACCCCCAGCCCAGGGUCCCUCCCUCCGCCCCUGGCGACUGCUCUGCUGGUACCUGUCUGCUUUGCUUCUUGUUAGCUGCGCCAGGUCAUUGGAUUUUGUAGACUGCACAUUCGAUUCUGGUGUACUUGUCAGCUUAACAUUUCAGUCUGGUUGGCAUGGACUAAGGAGCCCACCCUCCUGCGGCCCCAGUUGGAUCAAGACACCUGCCCUCAGAGCCAGAGCUGUGGCUGGGCAAGGCGAAGACUCUUCCCCAAGUGCCUUUUCAGGAACUCAUGAUGUCCUUCCUGGGAAAGCUUUGGGUUCAGGGUCAAAGAGCCUGAUCAUUUUGGGCUGCUCAGGCCUGGUGUUUGGCCUCCAGGGGGAGGGCGGUCACCCCGGGCCUCUGUGGAGAGGUGGCUUUGAGGGGACAGAUCUGCCCGGGGCUGGAAGGCGCCCCGCCCCGUGCCCAGAGUGUCAUGCGGUCUGUGUCUGUGUGGCGGCUGUGAUUUCACAUAUGCCCUGCUUGUGUCUCCGUAAGUGCAAAAGGGGAAACAGACCUUCGUAAGUACUUCUUACC